CAGGCAUUUCCAUUAAGUUAAUGUAAUGUGGCGCGCUGCGCUAACAUUGAGUCAGUCGUUACGAACGUGGUAAAGAAACAUACAGGAAACGAAGAGUUUCUUAAAGGAAAAUGCAGCCAGGUGGAGCAGGGUAAGGGGCAGCCAUGACUCGACUACCCCGGCCCAUUCUGCAUCUCCACGGUGUUAAUGGCAACCUAAUCCCAGCGGCUUUGAAACGGUUGUAAAUAGCAUCAAGGAGAAGCAUUGCAUUGCUGCUGGGGGGGUUGUCGAAAAAGG
This is a long non-coding RNA of Poecilia reticulata (guppy), 276 nucleotides long. RefSeq lists it as uncharacterized. The record is from RefSeq and is a predicted model, not a curated record. Lineage: Eukaryota; Metazoa; Chordata; Actinopteri; Cyprinodontiformes; Poeciliidae.